AUUGAACGCUGGCGGCAGGCUUAACACAUGCAAGUCGAGCGGGGGAAGGUAGCUUGCUACCGGACCUAGCGGCGGACGGGUGAGUAAUGCUUAGGAAUCUGCCUAUUAGUGGGGGACAACAUCUCGAAAGGGAUGCUAAUACCGCAUACGUCCUACGGGAGAAAGCAGGGGAUCUUCGGACCUUGCGCUAAUAGAUGAGCCUAAGUCGGAUUAGCUAGUUGGUGGGGUAAAGGCCUACCAAGGCGACGAUCUGUAGCGGGUCUGAGAGGAUGAUCCGCCACAGUGGGACUGAGACGCCGCCCGGACGCCUACGGGAGGCAGCAGUGGGGAAUAUUGGACAAUGGGGGGAACCCUGAUCCAGCCAUGCCGCGUGUGCGAAGAAGGCCUUAUGGUUGUAGAGCACUUCAAGCGAGGAGGAGGCUACUCUGGUUAAUACCUAGGGAUAGUGGACGUUACUCGCAGAAUAAGCACCGGCUAACUCUGUGCCAGCCGCCGCCGUAA
Molecule: ribosomal RNA, 501 nt
Filed under: uncultured bacterium
Lineage: Bacteria
Description: partial 16S ribosomal RNA
Rfam family: Bacterial small subunit ribosomal RNA
Source: RNAcentral